This 274-nucleotide ribosomal RNA is filed under the name uncultured bacterium. RNAcentral describes it as "partial 16S ribosomal RNA". It matches the Rfam family "Bacterial small subunit ribosomal RNA", at positions 523 to 796 of the family's 1533-position model. The record is from RNAcentral.
ACACGAACCGCACGAACGUUAUUCGGAAUCACUGGGCUUAAAGGGUGCGUAGGCGGUCCGGUAAGUUGGGUGUGAAAGCCCUCGGCUCAACCGAGGAAUUGCGCCCAAAACUACCGGACUUGAGGAAGACAGAGGUGAGCGGAACUUGCGGUGGAGCGGUGAAAUGCGUUGAUAUCGCAAGGAACACCAGUGGCGAAAGCGGCUCACUGGGUCUUUUCUGACGCUGAGGCACGAAAGCUAGGGGAGCGAACGGGAUUAGAUACCCGGGUAGUCC